Molecule: long non-coding RNA, 236 nt
Filed under: Selaginella moellendorffii
Lineage: Eukaryota; Viridiplantae; Streptophyta; Lycopodiopsida; Selaginellales; Selaginellaceae
Description: long non-coding RNA (SMOE_LNC002351)
Source: RNAcentral
GUUUGGAGCUGAGCAACAACCAAAACAAGUGAACAAAAGAAAGUAGAAUGAAGAAGACUUCCUUGUGUGUGGAAUCAUCAGAUGCUGCUGGAGUUGGUACCCUUUGUCCCCCACUAGGUAUGGCUUGAUCCUAUCAUCAUAUGCUAACACCACGGGUGAUGUCAGCAGCUCCCUUGCUACAAUCUUGUUCCUGAGGGUUGAAUUACGAAAAACCCUCAUGUCGUGGACACGUCCUG